This 634-nucleotide ribosomal RNA is filed under the name uncultured bacterium. Its description in RNAcentral is "bacterial SSU rRNA". It matches the Rfam family "Bacterial small subunit ribosomal RNA", at positions 9 to 655 of the family's 1533-position model. The record is from RNAcentral.
GAGUUUGAACCUGGCUCAGGAUGAACGCUGGCGGCGUGCCUAAUACAUGCAAGUCGAGCGAACCACUUUGGUGGUGAGCGGCGAACGGGUGAGUAACACGUAGGUGAUCUGCCCAUCAGACGGGGACAACGAUUGGAAACGAUCGCUAAUACCGGAUAGGACGAAAGUUUAAAGGUGCUUCUGGCACCGCUGAUGGAUGAGCCUGCGGCGCAUUAGCUAGUUGGUAGGGUAAAGGCCUACCAAGGCGACGAUGCGUAGCCGACCUGAGAGGGUGAACGGCCACACUGGAACUGAGACACGGCCCAGACUCCUACGGGAGGCAGCAGUAGGGAAUCUUCGGCAAUGGGCGAAAGCCUGACCGAGCAACGCCGCGUGAAUGAUGAAGGCCUUCGGGUUGUAAAAUUCUGUUAUAAGGGAAGAACGACUUUAGUAGGAAAUGGCUAGAGUGUGACGGUACCUUAUGAGAAAGCCACGGCUAACUACGUGCCAGCAGCCGCGGUAAUACGUAGGUGGCGAGCGUUAUCCGGAAUUAUUGGGCGUAAAGAGCGCGCAGGUGGUUGAUUAAGUCUGAUGUGAAAGCCCACGGCUUAACCGUGGAGGGUCAUUGGAAACUGGUCGACUUGAGUGCAGAAGA